GGGUUGCGGGCUGGGAGGACUCGGUCCUCCACUGUCCCAGCCGGCCACGCGCCCGCGUGUAGCCUCACGUCCCGCUAGCAGCACGCUGCGUGGCUGCUCGUUGGCUGCUUAAGACGGAAGCUCGGUUGAUGUUUCUGCAGAAGUUUCCCCCUUGGGCGGUGGCGGAGCUGCUGAGCGCGAUAGUAGCAGCUCUGGCGGCAGCAACAUUGACUACUAGGAAUGGCGGCGGCGGCCGCAGGACCUGCAGCAUCCCAGAGGAGCUGACUAAGGCUUUGGAACAGAAACCAGAUGAUGCACAAUAUUAUUGUCAAAGAGCUUAUUGUCACAUUCUUCUUGGGAAUGACUGUGGUAGUUUUUCUUAUAAAGUAUAUUGUCCCUUUUUAAUAAGUUACUUAUACAUUUUACCCAUGACCAAUUAAUCAAAUAAAAUAAAGAUUGUCUUUGAGGAUUUUUAAAUUGGUCUUUCAUACAAGGUAAAGUAGCUCAAGUGUGACAGGCAUGUUGAACAACACCUAUUUAAAUUUUAUGGAUGUCUCUUUUUCCUCAGUGGGUGGAUAAUGUAUAUAGAUUUCAUUCAUAGUUAUUGGGAGGCUGAUAAAGAAUUAGUAUCAUAUUUACUAUUUGACAGAGUAUUAAAAUGAAAUGCUCUUCUUUGUAUUUUUUUUUAUAAAAAAGAAUGUGGCCAGGCAUGGUGGCUCACUCCUAUAAUCCCAGCACUUUGGGAGGCCAAAGCAGGAGGAUCAUAUGAACCCAGGAGUUUGAGUCCAGCCUGGACAACAGAGCAAGACCCUAUCUAUACUAAAAAAAAAAAAAUGUAUUUCUGUAUUGUGUAACUUUAAAAUUUAUUCUGAUGAAGAAUCUGGAUAGGGAAAAACUGAAGAUCUUUUUUUUUUUUUAGAUGAAUUUUUACUCUUGUUGCCUAGGCUGGAGUGCAGUGGCAUGAUCUCAGCUCACUGCACCCUCUGCCUCCCAGGUUCAAGCGAUUCUCCUGCCUCAGCCUCCCAGGUAGCUGGGACUACAAGCACAUGCCACCAUGCCCAGCUAAUUCUGUAUUUUUAGCAGAGACGGGGUUUCACCAUGUUGGCCAGGCUGGUCUCAAACUCCUGACCACAGGUGAUCUGCCCACCUUGGCCUCCCAGAGUGCUGGGAUUACAGGUGUGAGCCACUGCACCUGGCCAAAUUACAUAGAUGAUGCUAAUGAGAAAAGGAGAUGAAUUUUGUGACACAAUUGUAUUCAUUGACUGAAGAGCUUUAGGAAGGAAGCUAAAUGUUCAGCCAAAAGGAAGGUACAAGAGUAAUAUUUAUUUGAAUUCUGUCUUGGAUUAGCUUUUCCAAAUUUAAAACCAUCUGGCGUUUCUACCAACUUGAAAACUUAGAAAUCUAAAACUGAUCCAUAUUCUGUUUGUAUUUGCUAGAAUCUGUAAAUAACUGAUGAAAAACCCAUCUUUUUCUUUCUUUCUUUCUUUCUUUUUUUUGAGAUGGAGUCUUGCUCUGUCACCCAGACUGGAGUGCAGUGGUGCAAUCUUGGCUCACUGCAACCUCCGCCUCCCAGGUUCAAGUAAUUCUCCUGCCUCAGCCUCCUGAGUAGCUGGAACUACAGGCGCGUGCCACCAUGCCCGGCUAAUUUUUUGUAUUUUUUUUUUUAGUAGAGACGGGGUUUCACCAUGUUAGCCAGGCUAGUCUCGAUCUGCUGACCUCGUGAUCCACCUGCCUUGGCCUCCCAAAGUGCUGGGAUUACAGGCAUGAGCCACCAUGCCUGGCCAAAAACCCAUCUUUUUCUACAUAGUUGCUGUUGCUGAUGUAAAGAAGUCUCGCGAACUCAAUCCAAAUAAUUCCACUGCUGUGCUGAGAAAAGGGUAUGCAAUAGCUACUCUUUUUGUUGAGCUUGGACUGUAAAUAGUAGAUGUUUAAUUUGUUGAAUGAGUUCAUUGUAAGCUUUAUUAGUAAAAUUGUUUAUACAUUUUAUAGCAGAGAUAUGAUUCAAUUUUAAAUAUAAAGCUAUAGUUCUAUUAUUUUGUUAACCAUAGUAUGUGAUAGGAGAUCUAUAUUUAAUAUAUUUUAAAAUAGCGAUGAUUGAAAUAACUGCAGGGUAUAGAUGAAACUGAUGCAUUUCACAUUCCUUUUUUGUUUAUCAUUUGGAAUUUACUCUAUUUAACUGACUGGUGAACAUCCUAUUAUUCAACCAAGCUGAAUAGGCUACAUUUAAUGCUAUGAAAGCUCUGUAUCUAUGUGCUUUAUAUCCCAUCUUGUUUCUGUUGGUAAGUGUAACUUUAUUCUUUAAGUAAGAAACUGCUUUAAUUCCUUUGUAUAAUUAUAUUUUGGAAUAAGCAAGUAUGUGUAAUUAAAGUGAAAUUCCUUCUGAAGUAAGUUCUAAAAUUGAAUUUUACUGGAAAUUGUACUAGAUGUUAACAGUAUUUUAGAAAGUCUCUUGGCUUACUAACAUAUACUUAAAAUAAAUUUUUUCUUUCAACAAUAGAAAAUACUAAAUGUUUUUAUUUAGAAAGAAGGCUAUUUUCCAGAUCUUGUGUGUGUGUUAAUUUGUUUUAAAUAUGUUCAUGCAGGAUAUGUGAAUACCAUUAAAAAAAACUAUGCUGCUUCUCUAGAAACUUUUAUAGAAGGACAAAAAUUAGAUAGUAAGAAUUAAAUUGUAGUUUUAUAAACUUAUCCAUUUCUGUCUGAAAUACCAAAGCUGAAUUUUGUUAAUGUUCAUAUCAAGUUAAUUACAGAAACCCAAUACCUAUUUUUCUCAUCUUAAUUACACUUCAUAUUGGUUGCAGAUAUGGGAUCACUUAAAAUUGGUUAAAUCAGCCUUUUAGCAUUUAAACCACAGAUAAACUUACCAUUAGAAGUAAAAAGCCAUAUGGAAACACUUAACAUGCUCUCUCUAUUUAGUCUGGCUUUGUUGUUUUCUAAUGGAGAAAUGAAAAUUUAAUUUGCUUUCUUGGUCAGAAGUCUGUUCAUUUUAAGUUAUUCAGAAUGCUGAGAUGGGAAAUCUUAACACUUAUAGAGAAGUGAAGUGUAUAGUUUGAUAAAUUAUGAGAGGGUACAGAAGAAACAGAGUUUUGAGAGUAUUGUGAGUUUUUAAUGUUAUAUUUUUUAGGGGAAUAUAUGAAGAUUAUCACAGCAGUGUAGAUAUCUAGACAUAUAUAGAAAUUGUGAGAGCAAGAAUUUUAAAAUUGGAAGAAUACUAAGAUAGAGGUUGUGAGUAAUCCCAGAAAAUUGUAGACUACAUAAUCCUAUUUGUACUAUUAUUUUAUCUUUAUGUUAUGAUAGAAUUUUAUCACAAUUCUCUAAAGCAGUGGUUCUUAACUGGAAACAAUUUCGUUUCCCAGGAAACUUUAGGCAAUGUUUGAAGAGAUUUUUGGUUAUCAUGAAUGUUGGAUAGGGGUGAGCUACUGACAUGUAAUGAAUAUAAACCAGGGGUGCUACUAAAUAUCCUAUAAUGCCCAGGACAGUCCUGCCCAACAGAGAAGUAUCUAGUUCAAAAUGUCAGUAGUGCUGAGUUAAGAAACUCUGCUCUUACAUAUUAUAUGUUAAAUUCUUACUCUGUACUGCUUUAAAGGUUUGCUUUUCUGCUGUAUACCUGUAUACCUGUUCAAAAAAGGAUUUUAGGCCUCAUUACACAAAUGGAAGCUACAAAUUAGGAAAGGAAAGGUCUGGGUGAUAGGACUUAUUCUCAAAUUUGCUUAUCCCAGUUUCAGUUUUGGCAUGUGAAUAAUAGGGCUAUUCAGUCAGCAAGACAGCAUAUCUACACUCUUAGCAAAUUCUAGAGUCAGGUUAUCUAGUGCCUUGAUACAUAUUUGAAAACCCUGAAAAAACAUGAGUCAUGCCAUUCUCUACAUUUUCUUUUUUCUUUUUCUUUUUUUUGAGACAAGGUGUCACUCUUGCCCAGGCUGGAGUACAAUAGUGCGAACUUGGGUCAUUGCAACCUCCUCCUCCUGGGUUCAGGUGAUCCACCCACCCCAGCCUCCCAAGUUACUGGGGCUACAGGCACGUGCCACUGACUAAUUUUUGCUUUUUUUUUUUUUUUUUUUGCAGAGACAGGGUUUUGCCAUGUUGCAAAGCCUGAUCUUGAACUCCUGGGCUCAAGCGAUCUGCCUGCCUCGGCCUCCCAAAGUGUUGGAGUUACAGGCGUGAGCCAUUGUGCCUGGCCUCAUCCUCUGCAUUUCUAGGCCCUACUACUUUUAAGAGCAAUAGAAAGGUUUCUUGCCUAAAUUCCUUUCUUUUUUUCUUUUUUUGGGGGGCUGGGGGCACAGAGUCUUGCUCUGUCACCCAGGCUUGAGUGCAAUGGCACCAUCAUAGUUCACUGCAGCCUUGAAUUCCAGGGCUCAAGCCAUCCUUCUGCCUCUGCCUCCUGAGUAGCUGGGACUACAGGCAUGUGUCACCACACUGAGCUAAUUCGUUAAAUAUUUUUUUGUAGAGAUGAGGUCUUGCUACAUUACCCAGACUGGUCUCUGAACUCCUGGCCUCAAGUGAUCCUACUGCCUUGCCCUCCCAAAAUGCUGGCAUUACAGACAUGAGCCACUGCACCUGGCCCCUAAAUGCUUUUCUUGAAUGAAUAAUUUCUCUCUCUCUCUCUCUCUCCCUCUCCCUCUCCUCUCUCUCUCUCUCUCUCUCCCUCUCCCUCUCUCUCCUCUCUCUCUCUCUCUCCUCUCUCUCUCCUCUCUCUCUCUCUCUCCCUCUCUCUCCUUCCUUCCUUGCUUGCCUUUCUCUUUCUUUUUUCUUUAUUUCUUUCCACGGAGUCGCGAUCUCAGCUCACUGCAACCUCUGCCUCCUGGGUUCAAGUGAUUCUCCUGCCUCACCCUCCCAAGUACCUGGGAUUACAGGCGGACGCCACCACACCCGGCUAAUUUUUUAUAUCUUUAGUAGAGACAGGGUUUCGCCACGUUGGCCAGGCUGGUCUUGAACUCCUGACCUCGUGAUCCGCCCGCCUCAGCCUCCCAAAGUGCUGAGAUUACAGACAUGAGCCACUGUGCCCACCCGAAUAAUAUCUUAAUAUCAUGCCAUUGACAUUUAUUCUCUAAUUAUUUCAGAGGUGGCCUUCAGAAGAAGGCCUCCUUGGUAAAAUUGCUAUUAAGGAUAUUUCACUGAAAAACAAAUUUAUCUAUAAAUUUAAAUCCAGGAAAAAUUUAAGUUAAACUUUUAUGCUUCUAUUUUUAUCAGACAGGGUAAAACAUUUAUAACUCAGAAUAUUACCUUUUCCCCUCUCUGUGUGAUAGAUUGCUUGGUUUUAGUUACUGAUUAUUUAAAAUAAUAAGUUAUUCAAAGCUAGGAUUUUGAUGUAAUAGUUCUUCUCUAGAAUAUGGUGUGUGUGAGAGUGUAUUUACAUUUUUUAUUAAGGCCCAUGUAGUUGUAUUUCUUUUAUAAAUUAGUAAAUUAGAAAAUUUUGUUUUAAGAAAUUUUUAAUUUAAAAUUUCCAGAUUGCUCUUGCCUGCAGUUACGUAUUUUACUAUGCACUGUGUUUAAAUGUAGUCAUUGUUCUGUGU
Molecule: RNA transcript, 5486 nt
Organism: Gorilla gorilla gorilla (western lowland gorilla)
Lineage: Eukaryota; Metazoa; Chordata; Mammalia; Primates; Hominidae
Gene name: protein SGT1 homolog
Exons: 2
Source: RefSeq, a predicted model, not a curated record